Molecule: long non-coding RNA, 4846 nt
Organism: Chiroxiphia lanceolata (lance-tailed manakin)
Lineage: Eukaryota; Metazoa; Chordata; Aves; Passeriformes; Pipridae
Exons: 5
Source: RefSeq, a predicted model, not a curated record
GAUCCCCACGCACCGCCAGCCGCGCCCGCUCCGCAGCCCGGCCCGCGGCGGGCGGAGCGCCAGGACCCCGCAGGAUCCUGCCCGCAGCCUCUACCGCGGCCCCGCCGCGCCGUGCGCGCCCCACGCCGCCAUGUUGGCCUCGCGGCCCGCGGGUGUCCCAGCGCCCCCUGACGGGCGGCGCCCGCGCGGAGGGACAACCGCGCUCGGGCCUGGCAGCGACUGCGCUGCGGCCGCUUUGUUCCCAGGGCAGCAAAGGCAAACACUCCUGCGUUCACUCCGCGUAAAUUCAGGGACACAGUAGUACAAGUGUUGGUUGCCUGGCCAAUAGGUGGAUCUUGAUCAUAUGUCACCUCUGCACCCAACGGUUGACAUGCAACUACUUGUUGCCAAGCAAGAGAAGUUUCUUACAGUGCCCAGUUGCCUGCCUGUAAAUUAGUGCUUGUUUAAACACAAACAUGAAACGUCAUAGUUUUAGUUCUUCAUAGUUUUCACCUGAAAGUGAGCUGUUAGUGGUUCUCCAGUAUGUGACAUGUUUUAGCCUGAGGACUCUGAUGGAGCCAGCUGAAUUGGAGAGACUUGAAGAAGUAACAGAGCACAUCACUGCAAGAGAGGUAUUCAGUUCUCCUCCUUGUCUCCUCACUGAUGGCUGCAAGCUGAUGGUGACACAGACCUUUUUUGGAAGAACUGUGGUGCCGGAUUGCCUCAGCCACCUUGCAUGGUUUGGUGAUGCAGGUGAGCUCAUCAAAUCUCUCAUAUAUCAAGCACCUCUAGCAAGUUGCUCCAGCUCAAAACAUCACUCCCUUCUGCUGUUGAUAGGAGUUUCUUAGCAAAAGUUACUGCCUUUGCAACACAAGUUGGAGGGAUCACAAAAGAAAAAAAAUCAACCCACAUCUCACUUCUCAGUCUGGCACGUUAAACUGUUACUCCAAGGACUGUAUCCAAGGGACACCACAGCAUGGGCGUGCAUUCCUCUUUGGUGACACAGACAGGAAAGGACAACUGUCUCUGGAAAAGCAGAAGUCUCAAAUAGCUGGGGAGCAGUAUUGUCAUACAUACUGGAAACGUGCACACAGACCAAGAGUCUUUCAGGUCCAUGCAGCCAUACAAUUAUUUUAUGCAAGACCAAAAUGAUGACUGCAGUGAACUAAGGAAACUUUAUAGUUUUAUCUGUGUUUUAUGUAUGCAUAUCAACUUUCCAUUUUUACUAGGUUUGGGUUCCAGUUUUCAAUGCUAGCAAUUCAUCUCUAGAGCUCCGUCCCUCUGGCUUCUACUAAAAUCCCAUCCUGCCAAGACAUUUUUGUAGCAAAGCCUUUGCAGAGGUUUGAUUAAUUUCAAUCAUUCCUAGCCUGCAAAUGUGAAAUCCCGUUAGACAAUAAGGACAUCACAUCACAAAAUAACUUCCUUAGACAUCUUUGCCUGCACUGAUUUACAUCUAUUUUUAAAAGGAAACUCCAAACAUGGGGGACUUGCAUAUCUUACUUUUACACUCAAUAAAAACACUGAGAAUACUCAACUACAAGAUAUUUAAAUCCUGGCUUGCUUAGGAACAACUAACUGGUUAGAAAAUUAACCAGCCUUUAAAAAUAAUAUCCCAAUGAGUGAAUUACUAUAGGUUAUCAAAUGAGUAAAGCUUCUUCAUAGAAGCAAAACCACCUGAUGUAGCACAGACUGGUUCAGCUAAAUACAGCACACUGAAAAAUAGGACAAACACACAAUAUACUUUCCAAAGAUCUUCCCUUAAAACAGGGGACAAGGGAAAUAGAGUUGCUAGUCCACAGGAGGCUGCAGAGGCAGGAAAGAAGCUGCUGCAGCUCAGAGCAAGCCAGUCUCACAGAGAAUUCAAGACCACUUAUAGGCACAUAAAUAUGUUGUGGAGUGCUUGAGAAACUCCUUGAAGGCUUAUGUCUGAGGUGCUUUCUCACCAUUUCGUUUGUGUGAAACCUUCUUCUUCAAAACCUGCCUUCUGACGCUGGGUGUGUGUGGACGUCACAUGGGGACUAUUGAAAGAGGCGCCUCCCGCCCCGCUCUGCUUCCCUCAGUCCCGUUCCUAGCCGUGCGAUGUCACUAUUCUCCGUUGUCUCAGCACGAAAACUUGCCUGUUUUCGUCAACAGGAAGGCAUCGACUUGCUCUAUAGACAGUCGUGGCUAUUCUGUCUAGCAGAGGGUCAUAUGACACUCACAGUUCAGACAGAUCAGAGGCAGGAACGUGACAUUCCAUUGACACUGUCAUCUCAUAUAAUGUGUGCUAAGAGCAUGUCUUUCACUAAAUCUGCUAGUUUCCCAAAGUUUCUGAAUUUUAAUUUCUGUCUUUGGCAUCCAAGAUGAGGUUUGAAUGACAUCCAAGUACAGCUGGUUCUGUAACAUUGCAUGUAGUUCUAGAAAACCAGCUUGGUGGGGGUGCUCAGUAAUCCCAGCUCAGUGCUAGCCUCGCAUGUGUCCAUUCACACUGCUGUCAGCUGGACCUCACUGAGAUUGUAGGUUUAGGGGUACAGAAUAAAGGUUUACAUGUGUGUCCCCUCCGAUAGAGACAUAGCUAUCCAUGAAUUCAAACAGCCUUUUCGGGAAACCUUUGCUUGGGCUUUGUUUGGGAAACAAACCUACUACAUCUCUAUCCCUGUCUUUUUUCUACCUAUACAACAAAGUCAGAUGCAAACUGCACUGGUUAUUGUCAGUCCUGAUCAGAAGAACCACUUUACCACUCAGAAAAGUGAGAUCAUGUGUUUUCAGAAAUGUAUCAUAAUUGCCUCAAGGGUGUAUGACCACCACUAUCAGUUUCUUCUCUCAACUAGAUUAACAAGCAGGAAUACAGUUUUUGACUAACCAGCACAAGAAAUGCAUUUAAUAAGUAAACCAUUUUGGAUCCCAGAAGACCCUAACAUUGCUUUCAACUCCUUGGAGAAAAGCACUCAAUUUCACAACAGUUAAUAUAAUAGGAGCUGGAGAGGCUUUUUCCACUCAGCUCGAAGACAGAAACCUGAGUGGAAUCAAGAUGCACACAUGUAGAUAAAUUACAUGAUCUUAAUCAAAGUAUUUAAUAUGCAACUUUGGUGUAUUGUAAAACAAAACCCCUUCAGUCACUCAUUAGUUCUGUAACAGAAAAUAAAAGUGCGCAAAUGUUUUCUUUUUCCCCAGAAAGUAAGGAGAAUCAAAAACAUUCUGGGUAGAGUAAGGAAGCAGAACAAGGACUGUUUCUUUGCUGAAUAGCAUACCAAAUUUAGUUGAAGAAAAAAAAAAGUCAAACUUGUCAACUAUGCAGCUUCAUUUCUGGAAAUGCUGAGCCAAUGCCAUUCUCUAUUAGGUACUAUUGGAAGGGAAGAAGUUCACACUGACAAAUCUGGCCCUGCUAUAUUCAGCUGCCUUAUCGUGCAGUUAAGCGUCUAAACUUAUACAUCUAGGGAAGUUUUAAAAUAUAAGGUCUGUGUGCUGUAUACUCUUCUCAGUUGUUUCUUAACUCAUUGUCUCACUUUUUUCUUUAAUCACAACUACCUCUAUUCUAUGGUCCCAAUAUCCAUGAUUACUCCAUGUGCUUCACCCAAUCACAACACCACAUCUCAUUUAAACAGGUUUGCUUUUCAGCUUCUGCUUUGUAAUAAAGUAAAAAAAUGCAGCAGUUUUCUGUGCCAAGGUCAUUAAAAAUUACAUUCUUAUGCUGUGUUUCAACCAGAGAUCUACUCCCUACACUUCCUGGUUGAGACACAGCUGCCUGUGGUUCUAAAAAUAAUCCUGCUCUUUUCCGACACACUACUAGCCUGCAUAUGCAUCCUGUAUGUGCUAGUUACCCACACAGCCGUGCUAGACUUCUUGGAGCUCCUUAAAUAUAAUCAUGUGUCUUCAAAUGUAUGGCUUGUAUUAAUGUUCCAGUGAAGCCACAAACAGAUCAGAAAAUUAUCUUUGCAAUGUCAAUCCUUAAGCAACCUUUGGGUUGCUCCCAGUACUUGCUUCUAAAUACAUAAUUUACUUCCAUUAUAUUAUGUUUAAUCUGCCCAUGUCUGUUCCUGCCUUUCCAUUAUAAAGGCAGCAUAUUGUGCCUGCUAGGUACUGAGCUAGUGCAGCUGCGAAGGCAAACGCAACUCCUGAGCUGGCAAAUUACCUCUUAAUUCACGUUAACCCGAUUCCUGUAUUUUAAGCAAUUAAUUUUUUUCUGGAGUGGAAGGCAGGCAAGGCUCCCUAGGUAAAAACCAGCAACACUGGGUUAGGUCAAUAUAUUUAUAUAAGCACUAAUACAAUUUCUGUCUCAAUUCUAGAAUUCCCUAAUUAUAAAGGGCAGACUGAAACAGGAAAGGGGGAUUUCUUAUGCACUAAACUAAAGAAAAUGACAAAAACUAAAAUGGGAAAGUAUUAGAAACUGCCUUGCAACUAAAACAACAAAAAGGGAUCCCAUUUCCCCUUUCUUUAGUCCUUGCUGUGCUGCAGGUUGUAACUAUGCCCCUUUGGGCUGGACUGGAUCCCUCACAGCAGGGCUGACCGUUACACGAGGCGAUGGAGUACAUUGUACUCCCCAGGGUUAUAGAAUAGAAUCAUUAGGUCCAUUAGAACUCUCAGGUCUUCUUACUCCAGGAAGACAGGAGAACGAUCCAAGUCAGUCAGAUGAAAGCAGGAACAGUAACUUUAGCCAGACAAGCUCCAUAGGGAGAGAUGAUAUGUUUUCAUUGGACCAACUGAUACAGCUGAAGAAAAGCAAACCAGCUUUCAGGAACACAAGCCCUCCUUUACUAAGCUCAGCAUCACUGGGCCAGGGGAGGCGGAACAAUAGCUCCCUUCUCUCAGGAAGGUUAACCAUAGCUGUGGGACAAGCCUGGCAAAGACUGUCUGAAUCCAGCUAUUUUUUUUUGCAUGGCAUUUAUAU